GGGUUGUGAGGUUAAGCGACUAAGCGUACACGGUGGAUGCCCUGGCAGUCAGAGGCGAUGAAGGACGUGCUAAUCUGCGAAAAGCGCCGGCGAGGUGAUAUGAACCCUUGACCCGGCGAUGUCCGAAUGGGGAAACCCAGUGCAAUCCGUUGCACUAUCGUUAACUGAAUACAUAGGUUAACGAGGCGAACCGGGGGAACUGAAACAUCUAAGUACCCCGAGGAAAAGAAAUCAACCGAGAUUCCCCCAGUAGCGGCGAGCGAACGGGGAGCAGCCCAGAGUCUGAAUCAGCUUGUGUGUUAGUGGAAGCGUCUGGAAAGUCGCACGGUACAGGGUGAUAGUCCCGUACACGAAAAUGCACAGGCUGUGAACUCGAAGAGUAGGGCGGGACACGUGGUAUCCUGUCUGAAUAUGGGGGGACCAUCCUCCAAGGCUAAAUACUCCUGACUGACCGAUAGUGAACCAGUACCGUGAGGGAAAGGCGAAAAGAACCCCGGCGAGGGGAGUGAAAAAGAACCUGAAACCGUGUACGUACAAGCAGUGGGAGCACCUUCGGGUGUGACUGCGUACCUUUUGUAUAAUGGGUCAGCGACUUAUAUUCUGUAGCAAGGUUAACCGUAUAGGGGAGCCGAAGGGAAACCGAGUCUUAACUGGGCGUUAAGUUGCAGGGUAUAGACCCGAAACCCGGUGAUCUAGCCAUGGGCAGGUUGAAGGUUGGGUAACACUAACUGGAGGACCGAACCGACUAAUGUUGAAAAAUUAGCGGAUGACCUGUGGCUGGGGGUGAAAGGCCAAUCAAACCGGGAGAUAGCUGGUUCUCCCCGAAAGCUAUUUAGGUAGCGCCUCGUGAACUCAUCUUCGGGGGUAGAGCACUGUUUCGGCUAGGGGGCCAUCCCGGCUUACCAACCCGAUGCAAACUACGAAUACCGAAGAAUGUUAUCACGGGAGACACACGGCGGGUGCUAACGUCCGUCGUGAAGAGGGAAACAACCCAGACCGCCAGCUAAGGUCCCAAAGUCAUGGUUAAGUGGGAAACGAUGUGGGAAGGCCCAGACAGCCAGGAUGUUGGCUUAGAAGCAGCCAUCAUUUAAAGAAAGCGUAAUAGCUCACUGGUCGAGUCGGCCUGCGCGGAAGAUGUAACGGGGCUAAACCAUGCACCGAAGCUGCGGCAGCGACGCUUAUGCGUUGUUGGGUAGGGGAGCGUUCUGUAAGCCGUUGAAGGUGGCCUGUGAGGGUUGCUGGAGGUAUCAGAAGUGCGAAUGCUGACAUAAGUAACGAUAAAGCGGGUGAAAAGCCCGCUCGCCGGAAGACCAAGGGUUCCUGUCCAACGUUAAUCGGGGCAGGGUGAGUCGACCCCUAAGGCGAGGCCGAAAGGCGUAGUCGAUGGGAAACAGGUUAAUAUUCCUGUACUUGGUGUUACUGCGAAGGGGGGACGGAGAAGGCUAUGUUAGCCGGGCGACGGUUGUCCCGGUUUAAGCAUGUAGGCGGAGGUUCCAGGUAAAUCCGGUACCUUUUAACGCUGAGGUGUGAUGACGAGGCACUACGGUGCUGAAGUAACAAAUGCCCUGCUUCCAGGAAAAGCCUCUAAGCAUCAGGUAACAUCAAAUCGUACCCCAAACCGACACAGGUGGUCAGGUAGAGAAUACCAAGGCGCUUGAGAGAACUCGGGUGAAGGAACUAGGCAAAAUGGUGCCGUAACUUCGGGAGAAGGCACGCUGAUAUGUAGGUGAAGCCCCUGCGGGUGGAGCUGAAAUCAGUCGAAGAUACCAGCUGGCUGCAACUGUUUAUUAAAAACACAGCACUGUGCAAACACGAAAGUGGACGUAUACGGUGUGACGCCUGCCCGGUGCCGGAAGGUUAAUUGAUGGGGUUAGCGGUAACGCGAAGCUCUUGAUCGAAGCCCCGGUAAACGGCGGCCGUAACUAUAACGGUCCUAAGGUAGCGAAAUUCCUUGUCGGGUAAGUUCCGACCUGCACGAAUGGCGUAAUGAUGGCCAGGCUGUCUCCACCCGAGACUCAGUGAAAUUGAACUCGCUGUGAAGAUGCAGUGUACCCGCGGCAAGACGGAAAGACCCCGUGAACCUUUACUAUAGCUUGACACUGAACACUGGUCCUUGAUGUGUAGGAUAGGUGGGAGGCUUUGAAGCGUGGACGCCAGUCUGCGUGGAGCCAUCCUUGAAAUACCACCCUUUAAUGGCUGGUGUUCUAACGUAGACCCGUAAUCCGGGUUGCGGACAGUGUCUGGUGGGUAGUUUGACUGGGGCGGUCUCCUCCCAAAGAGUAACGGAGGAGCACGAAGGUUAGCUAAUCCUGGUCGGACAUCAGGAGGUUAGUGCAAUGGCAUAAGCUAGCUUGACUGCGAGAGUGACGGCUCGAGCAGGUGCGAAAGCAGGUCAUAGUGAUCCGGUGGUUCUGAAUGGAAGGGCCAUCGCUCAACGGAUAAAAGGUACUCCGGGGAUAACAGGCUGAUACCGCCCAAGAGUUCAUAUCGACGGCGGUGUUUGGCACCUCGAUGUCGGCUCAUCACAUCCUGGGGCUGAAGUAGGUCCCAAGGGUAUGGCUGUUCGCCAUUUAAAGUGGUACGCGAGCUGGGUUUAGAACGUCGUGAGACAGUUCGGUCCCUAUCUGCCGUGGGCGCUGGAGAAUUGAGGGGGGCUGCUCCUAGUACGAGAGGACCGGAGUGGACGCAUCACUGGUGUUCGGGUUGUCAUGCCAAUGGCACUGCCCGGUAGCUAAAUGCGGAAGAGAUAAGUGCUGAAAGCAUCUAAGCACGAAACUUGCCCCGAGAUGAGUUCUCCCUGAGACUUAAAGUCUCCUGAAGGAACGUUGAAGACGACGACGUUGAUAGGUCGGGUGUGUAAGCGCAGCGAUGCGUUGAGCUAACCGAUACUAAUGAACCGUGAGGCUUAACCUUACAACGCCGAAG
RNAcentral lists this ribosomal RNA (2925 nucleotides) under Enterobacter cloacae. RNAcentral describes it as "bacterial LSU rRNA". It matches the Rfam family "Bacterial large subunit ribosomal RNA". Lineage: Bacteria; Pseudomonadati; Pseudomonadota; Gammaproteobacteria; Enterobacterales; Enterobacteriaceae. The record is from RNAcentral.